This 83-nucleotide microRNA precursor is filed under the name Homo sapiens (human). RNAcentral describes it as "mir-548 microRNA precursor family". It matches the Rfam family "mir-548 microRNA precursor family". Lineage: Eukaryota; Metazoa; Chordata; Mammalia; Primates; Hominidae. The record is from Rfam by way of RNAcentral.
UAUUAGGUUAGUGCAAAAGUAAUUGUGGUUUUUGCCAUUGAAAGUAAUGGCAAAACCACAAUUACUUUUGUACCAACCUAAUA